GGAGCAAUCAAAACGAUCGCAGGGUCAGUUGAACCUGAUCCUGAGGAAAGUCCGAACACCAUAGGGCAGGGUGCUCCAUAACAUGGAGUCGUGGCAACACGAAGGAAAGUGCAACAGAAAGAAUACCGCCCUGCAAUUGCAGGGUAAGGGUGAAAAGGUGCGGUAAGAGCGCACCAGAUAUCCGGGUGACCGGAGAUCUCGGUAAACCCCACCCGGUGCAAGACCAAAUAGGGGAGUGUUUGAGGGCUGCCCGCCCAAGCUCCCGGGUAGGUCGCAAGAGGUGUUGGGUAACCUGCAUCCAUAGAUGAAUGAUCGUUAUCCUGUUUAGAGUAAUCUAAACAGGAGACAGAAUUCGGCUUACUGAUUGCUCUGGCC
This 375-nucleotide RNase P RNA is filed under the name Pseudomonadota bacterium. RNAcentral's name for it is "Proteobacteria bacterium RNase P RNA component class A". It matches the Rfam family "Bacterial RNase P class A". From Rfam's summary of the family: Ribonuclease P (RNase P) is a ubiquitous endoribonuclease, found in archaea, bacteria and eukarya as well as chloroplasts and mitochondria. RNAcentral also lists the same sequence under 1 other name. Lineage: Bacteria; Pseudomonadati; Pseudomonadota. The record is from RNAcentral.